Morus notabilis is the source of this 1533-nucleotide long non-coding RNA. RefSeq lists it as uncharacterized. Lineage: Eukaryota; Viridiplantae; Streptophyta; Magnoliopsida; Rosales; Moraceae. The record is from RefSeq and is a predicted model, not a curated record. The transcript has 3 exons.
CGUGUUUCGGGAAGUCUCGCGCUGUCGUCUAUAGUUUAACAUUACUUGACGGUUUCAUGUUAUCGUCUAAUGUGAGCGUGGACUUCAAAUUGAGUCCUGUCACGACGGUUUCCUCAAACUCCGCCGUCAUCCAGCCAUUCCUCUCAUCCCUCUCUCUCUCUCUCUCUCUCUCUCUCUCUCUCAUGCGUACACGAACUCCACCGUCAGCUUUCCGCCAUCAUUACCCGUGAUGUUUUCUCUCUCUCUUGUGAACUCCCUCUUUACUCUCGCCUCUCUCUCUCUCUCUCUCACAAAAGCUGCCCGAAGACCUGCCGCCUUCGUGACCCGCUGUCACCUUCGACCUUCGUGACCCGCCAUCGCCUUCCGCCUCUGAGACCUGCUGCCAGCGCUGUCGCCUCCUUCCCUGGUUGUAGUUCCGAUGAGGAAGAAAGAUUUGAACUUAAGCAAAUGAAAAAACUUGAUCUGGAUGCGGAUAGAAAACGAAAGGCAACCAUAACGAAUUGAGUUGUGAAAAUGAGGGAUAAAGAAAAAGAAUUCAAGUCAGUUUUGAAUAGCGGGGGACAAGCAAUAAAGUUAUUUAUGUGUUCUAUCUCAUGAACACAUGCUAAUAAAAUAACAUAUUAGAGAUCAAAAGAAAAUAGAGUUAGCAUAGAGCGCAUUUGGUACAACUUCGCUGCAAGUUUCACGGUUCCGAUGUCUGUAAGAAGAAAGUCUCUAAUUACAAGUACUAGAAAGAUGGCUCGGGACUUUAGGUCCAAGCUAUUCAAAAAGUUUAUAGAGCCUUUGAAAGGUAGUUUUCAAACCUGUCGACUUCCGAAGUGGCAAGAAACUAAUUCUCAGUUACGGCGGAGCAAUGGAAGAAGUUUGUUGAGUACAGACUUACUCCGGAGCAGCAAGCCAUUUCCCAAGCAGCCUUUGAAAGAAGAAAACUAUGGGACUAUGUGCACUUAAAUUCCCGUGGGGGAUAUCAGAAAGCAGAGGCAGUAUAUAUGCGAGUCCACAAUACAAUGGUGCAUCCCGAUCGAGCUACUUUAUUGAGGAGCUCGUCAAGUGGAUUGUGAAUUAUAUGAACUUUUUAGAUAUCAUUGGGUGGAACAUUUUUUGUCAAGAGAGAAUCCUAAGGAACAUUUCAAUCUCAGGGGAUGAUGGAUGUGUUGACAAAAUCAUUGGAAAACUCUGAACAUUCAGGGUGUGUUCGUGGCCAAUCCCAAUUUGUUAAGUAAUCUACGUACUUUCAUUCCACUCGCGAGUCAAGCAGGGAUGAGGAGGUGGCUUGCCUACGGAAUCAGAUCAAUAUGAUGGAGGCAAAAAUUGAUGAAUUUAUGCGAUCCCAAGGCCACACUCCUACACCUUUAGGAGAGGAAGUGGGAGCUUUGACUGUGGAUCAAAGGCAUUGUGUAAAGAAGAGUUGUACCAUUCACACUUCAACACCAUGAGUUUAUAAACCGUCGUCUAAUGUCUUAUUUAACGACGGAUAAAAGCUGUUGUUAAAUCGUGCAACAAUUUAACGACUCUUGAUUAGACGGCGGUUCU